RNAcentral lists this ribosomal RNA (1606 nucleotides) under Escherichia coli. RNAcentral describes it as "partial 23S ribosomal RNA". It matches the Rfam family "Bacterial large subunit ribosomal RNA", at positions 1341 to 2925 of the family's 2925-position model. Lineage: Bacteria; Pseudomonadati; Pseudomonadota; Gammaproteobacteria; Enterobacterales; Enterobacteriaceae. The record is from RNAcentral.
AAGACCAAGGGUUCCUGUCCAACGUUAAUCGGGGCAGGGUGAGUCGACCCCUAAGGCGAGGCCGAAAGGCGUAGUCGAUGGGAAACAGGUUAAUAUUCCUGUACUUGGUGUUACUGCGAAGGGGGGACGGAGAAGGCUAUGUUGGCCGGGCGACGGUUGUCCCGGUUUAAGCGUGUAGGCUGGUUUUCCAGGCAAAUCCGGAAAAUCAAGGCUGAGGCGUGAUGACGAGGCACUACGGUGCUGAAGCGACAAAUGCCCUGCUUCCAGGAAAAGCCUCUAAGCAUCAGGUAACAUCAAAUCGUACCCCAAACCGACACAGGUGGUCAGGUAGAGAAUACCAAGGCGCUUGAGAGAACUCGGGUGAAGGAACUAGGCAAAAUGGUGCCGUAACUUCGGGAGAAGGCACGCUGAUAUGUAGGUGAAGCGACUUGCUCGUGGAGCUGAAAUCAGUCGAAGAUACCAGCUGGCUGCAACUGUUUAUUAAAAACACAGCACUGUGCAAACACGAAAGUGGACGUAUACGGUGUGACGCCUGCCCGGUGCCGGAAGGUUAAUUGAUGGGGUUAGCGGUAACGCGAAGCUCUUGAUCGAAGCCCCGGUAAACGGCGGCCGUAACUAUAACGGUCCUAAGGUAGCGAAAUUCCUUGUCGGGUAAGUUCCGACCUGCACGAAUGGCGUAAUGAUGGCCAGGCUGUCUCCACCCGAGACUCAGUGAAAUUGAACUCGCUGUGAAGAUGCAGUGUACCCGCGGCAAGACGGAAAGACCCCGUGAACCUUUACUAUAGCUUGACACUGAACAUUGAGCCUUGAUGUGUAGGAUAGGUGGGAGGCUUUGAAGUGUGGACGCCAGUCUGCAUGGAGCCGACCUUGAAAUACCACCCUUUAAUGUUUGAUGUUCUAACGUGGGCCCCUUACCGGGGUUGCGGACAGUGUCUGGUGGGUAGUUUGACUGGGGCGGUCUCCUCCUAAAGAGUAACGGAGGAGCACGAAGGUUGGCUAAUCCUGGUCGGACAUCAGGAGGUUAGUGCAAUGGCAUAAGCCAGCUUGACUGCGAGCGUGACGGCGCGAGCAGGUGCGAAAGCAGGUCAUAGUGAUCCGGUGGUUCUGAAUGGAAGGGCCAUCGCUCAACGGAUAAAAGGUACUCCGGGGAUAACAGGCUGAUACCGCCCAAGAGUUCAUAUCGACGGCGGUGUUUGGCACCUCGAUGUCGGCUCAUCACAUCCUGGGGCUGAAGUAGGUCCCAAGGGUAUGGCUGUUCGCCAUUUAAAGUGGUACGCGAGCUGGGUUUAGAACGUCGUGAGACAGUUCGGUCCCUAUCUGCCGUGGGCGCUGGAGAACUGAGGGGGGCUGCUCCUAGUACGAGAGGACCGGAGUGGACGCAUCACUGGUGUUCGGGUUGUCAUGCCAAUGGCACUGCCCGGUAGCUAAAUGCGGAAGAGAUAAGUGCUGAAAGCAUCUAAGCACGAAACUUGCCCCGAGAUGAGUUCUCCCUGACUCCUUGAGAGUCCUGAAGGAACGUUGAAGACGACGACGUUGAUAGGCCGGGUGUGUAAGCGCAGCGAUGCGUUGAGCUAACCGGUACUAAUGAACCGUGAGGCUUAACCUU